AUUGAACGCUGGCGGCAGGCCUAACACAUGCAAGUCGAGCGGAGCGGCGGACGGGUGAGUAAUGCCUAUGAAUCUGCCUGGUCGUGGGGGAUAACGUCCGGAACCGGGCGCUAAUACCGCAUCCUAUCAGAUGAGCCUAGGGCGGAUUAGCUAGUUGGGGGGGUAAAGGCCUACCAAGGCGACGAUCCCUCACUGGUCUGAGAGGAGGAUCAGUCACAAUGGAACUUAGACACGGGUCCGGCUCCUAAGGGAGGCAGCAGGUGGGAAUAUUGCACAAUUGGCGCAAGCCCUACGCCACCAAGGCGCGUUGAAGAAGAAGGCCUUCCGGUUGUAAAGUACUUUCAGCGGGGAGGCGUUACCCGCAGAAGAAGCACCGGCUAACUCCGUGCCAGCAGCCGCGGUAAUUC
Molecule: ribosomal RNA, 407 nt
Filed under: uncultured bacterium
Lineage: Bacteria
Description: partial 16S ribosomal RNA
Rfam family: Bacterial small subunit ribosomal RNA
Source: RNAcentral